Long non-coding RNA from Dalotia coriaria, 1258 nucleotides. RefSeq lists it as uncharacterized. The record is from RefSeq and is a predicted model, not a curated record. The transcript has 2 exons. Lineage: Eukaryota; Metazoa; Arthropoda; Insecta; Coleoptera; Staphylinidae.
UGUUGCGCCUGUCACGCGGCUAAAUUUAGCCGCGAGCAUCGGGCGUCCAUGCUCGCGCCGCGACCAGACCUUGUCUAAAUCUGCGGUAGCGCCCAGAUAGUUGAAUUCUUUCUUGCGCCGCCGCCGCCGGCGCGAAAUGCGAGAAACGCCAGUUUCGCCGUUUCGGCACCGAAUUGCCCAACGACGUAUAAUUAGAAACUUUGCGCGGUGCUACCAACACGCCAAGAAAAAAAAUACGAAUAAUUAACAGUGCAGUUUAGUUUCGGUAGUCGUUAAAUAUGCACGAAUCGUUCUAUAAUAAACAAAGGAUGAUCGUUUGUUUGCCAAAUUACGUCUUCAAUCAUUCUAUGUAGGGGGAAGUCCCGUAACGCCGGACGGCACCUAGCACCGGACACUCGUACUAUUUAAGCUAGUUUAAAUCUUUUCAUUUCCAAAAACAAGUGAAAGGGGUGCGGGGGGCACACAGGUACAGGAUCACUCGUCGUGGCUCGCCAGAAACGCACACGGCCACGGCGGGAGCAGCCGUUUGCUGUUUCAGGCGCAAAAUCACGACGUCACCUAAAUAUCAAUGUAAGUAAUUCUAGUAUAUUUAUGCAUUUACAUUUGAGUGGUAUUCAAAGAUACAAGUAGUACUUGAUUGUUAUCCGUAAAAUGGUAGAAUAUUAUUAGAUUUUUUAAACAAUUUUAGUAGGUACCACCAAAUGAACGAAAAUGUCUGUCCCUUAGCACCGGACACUAAGUUGUCCCUUAGCGCCGGACAGUAAACAUAUUGAUAUUUCUUAUGAGAGAGAGAGUGAGGAGAUGGCUAUGUUGCAGUCAAUGCAUACAUUUAGUAAAUGUAUACAUUUACUAGUCAAUGCAUACAUUCGCUAAAAUUCGUAGUUAAAGUAUUUAUUGUAACUGAAAUGAACACAUUAGCUAGUGGAUGUAUGCAUUCACGGGCUGCUUCUAGUCAGUGUGUUAAAUCCGUUGAUUAAAUCGUUAAAUUCUAUCACCCCACCCCCCACCGCCCUAUAAAUAAUACCAAACAAGGUAGCCUACCUAACCAUAUGACAUAUUUGAAAUGUCCGGUGAGAGGGGUAUGGCACAAAUAUGUGUCCGGUACUAGGUGCCACUUUUUAAAACUAUACUUUUUAUUACCAAAGUUUGAUUGAUAGUAUUAAUUAUUUUUUAACAGAGGUUGCAUUUUUGUUAUUUUAAUUUGAUUUCUAACUUUGUUAUCUACUAUAUGUCAUAAUUUAAUUAACAUUUCUUCAAA